GACGAACCGUGCGAACGUUGUUCGGAAUCACUGGGCUUAAAGGGCGCGUAGGCGGCCAUGCGUGUCUUCCGUGAAAUCCCUCGGCUUAACUGAGGACGUGCGGAAGAAACUGCAAGGCUUGAGUCCGGGAGAGGGGGGUGGAAUUCCCAGUGUAGCGGUGAAAUGCGUAGAUAUUGGGAGGAACACCGGUGGCGAAGGCGGCCCCCUGGACCGGUACUGACGCUGAGGCGCGAAAGCGUGGGUAGCAAACGGG
This 253-nucleotide ribosomal RNA is filed under the name uncultured bacterium. RNAcentral describes it as "partial 16S ribosomal RNA". It matches the Rfam family "Bacterial small subunit ribosomal RNA", at positions 524 to 776 of the family's 1533-position model. The record is from RNAcentral.